RNAcentral lists this ribosomal RNA (911 nucleotides) under Orthodonella sp. 3 PW-2017. RNAcentral's name for it is "partial small subunit ribosomal RNA". It matches the Rfam family "Bacterial small subunit ribosomal RNA", at positions 524 to 1403 of the family's 1533-position model. Lineage: Eukaryota; Ciliophora; Nassophorea; Synhymeniida; Orthodonellidae. The record is from RNAcentral.
GACAUGAGUGGUGAGCGUUAUUCGUAGUUAUUGAGUGUAAAAGAUGCGCGGACGAAAAGUAGGAUUUUAAAAAACUAAGUUGGAUGCAAACAGGCUUUUUUAUUAUACCAACUUUUUAGUGGUAAAGUAAACAAUGUAAUUCUUACUUACUAGCGAUGAAAUGCGUAGAGCAAGUAGGGAUGACCAAGUAUGAAAAUAACAUUGUUAUUUUGCCGGACGUUUAGGCAUGAAAGCAGAAGAAUCGACGAGGAUUAGUGACCCUAUUAGUUUCUGCUGUAAAAGAUGAAUAUUAGGUUAUUCUUUUUUCAAGGGAAUAGUCUUAGCUAACGCGUUAAAUAUUCUACUUGGGUAGUACAAUUGCAAAAUUGAAACUUAACAGAAUUGGCGGGAAUUUGUAUAACAGUGGAAUAUGUGGUUUAAUGCGAUAAUCCACGCAAAAUCUUACUAACAUUAAAARCCAUUUGUAAAACAUGUAGUGAUGUUUUUUUGAUAAUGUGGUUUUAGUGGUCCUGCAUGGCUGUCGUCCAUUCGUGUUGUAAAAUGUAAAAUUAAGUUUUUAAACGAAUGCAACCCAAGAUUAUAAUUUAAAUUUGUGUAUUAAUAAAUUGUUUAUUUAUACAUUUUUUUUUAUAAUAACCACCUAACUAAUGAUGAAAUUUUAACUGUUGGGUGUUUGUCGGGAAUUUGGCUGACGGCAAGUCUUUAUGGGCUAUGUAUGUUAGGCUACACACGUAUUACAAAGAUGGAAACAAGAAGUAGUUAGAUGUAAAUUUUAACGAAUCUUUAAAAACUAUCGUAGUUCGAAUUAUUUUCUGGAAGUCGAAAAUAUGAAGUAGAAAUUGUUAGUAAUCAUAAAAUAGUAAGUUAUGGUGAAUAACACUACAAAUUUUGCACACACCGCCCAUCACGCC